This 304-nucleotide ribosomal RNA is filed under the name Candidatus Saccharimonadota bacterium. RNAcentral describes it as "partial 16S ribosomal RNA". It matches the Rfam family "Bacterial small subunit ribosomal RNA", at positions 1 to 315 of the family's 1533-position model. Lineage: Bacteria; Candidatus Saccharimonadota. The record is from RNAcentral.
UUUAUGGAGAGUUUGAUCCUGGCUCAGGAUGAAUGCUGGCGGCGUGCCUAACACAUGCAAGUCGAGCGGCAGCGCGAGUAGUUUACUACUUGGCGGCGAGCGGCGGACGGCUGAGUAACGCGUGGGAAUCUGCCCCAAAGUGAGGGAUAACUGCCCGAAAGGGUAGCUAAUACCGCAUAUGGUCUUCGGAUUAAAGCAUUUAUGCGCUUUGGGAGGAGCCCGCGUCGGAUUAGGUAGUUGGUAGGGUAAUGGCCUACCAAGCCGACGAUCCGUAGCUGGUCUGAGAGGAUGAUCAGCCAGACUG